This 463-nucleotide ribosomal RNA is filed under the name uncultured bacterium. RNAcentral describes it as "partial 16S ribosomal RNA". It matches the Rfam family "Bacterial small subunit ribosomal RNA", at positions 339 to 795 of the family's 1533-position model. The record is from RNAcentral.
CUACGGGUGGCACCAGUGGGGAAUAUUGGACAAUGGGCGAAAGCCUGAUCCAGCAAUACCGCGUGUGUGAAGAAGGCCUGAGGGUUGUAAAGCACUUUCAAUAGGAAGGAAUACCUAUCGGUUAAUACCCGGUAGACUGACAUUACCUAUACAAGAAGCACCGGCUAACUCCGUGCCAGCAGCCGCGGUAAUACGGAGGGUGCAAGCGUUAAUCGGAAUUACUGGGCGUAAAGCGUGCGUAGGCGGUUAUUUAAGUCAGAUGUGAAAGCCCUGGGCUUAACCUGGGAACUGCAUUUGAUACUGGAUGACUAGAGUUGAGUAGAGGAGAGUGGAAUUUCAGGUGUAGCGGUGAAAUGCGUAGAGAUCUGAAGGAACACCAGUGGCGAAGGCGGCUCUCUGGACUCAAACUGACGCUGAGGUACGAAAGCGUGGGUAGCAAACAGGAUUAGAUACCCCGGUAGUC